Long non-coding RNA from Scylla paramamosain (green mud crab), 1784 nucleotides. RefSeq lists it as uncharacterized. The record is from RefSeq and is a predicted model, not a curated record. Lineage: Eukaryota; Metazoa; Arthropoda; Malacostraca; Decapoda; Portunidae. The transcript has 3 exons.
CCAGCCUGGACUGCUAUCCUGACUACAGCACACUGACUUGUUACCGCUUCAACGGAUUCUUUAAGUAAACGCACGAAACCAUCUGUGGUGUUUAUCUUAGCAUUAUGGCGCAGUGAUAUUUCUUAACAUUACGGUGCAGUGACAUUUCUUAACAUUACGGCGCAGUGAUAUUUCUUAACAUUACGGCGCAGUGACAUCUCUUAACAUUACGGCGCAGUGACAUCUCUUAACAUUAUGGCGCAGUGACAUCUCUUAACAUUACGGCGCAGUGUCUCUUGACAUUACGGCGCAGUGUUAGCAGCGGGGUGCCUGGUGCGAGAGUGUAAACUGAAGAGUGAGUGAUGGCUGCACACCACCGCAAGCUGGGUGCCUUGGCUGCGGCUGUCCUGAACGCCACCAUGGAUGACUUGCUGCCCCACAUAUCACCACCCAUCCACCGGCCCCACCCACCCCUCCACGCACGCCGCGCACUGGUCUUGUGUGGUGGGCCUCACUGCAGCAGCACCAUCAGCAGAACAACCCUGAGCUAACCACGCCAUCGUCCCCCAGUCUUUAUCUUCCGUACUGCCACACCAGGAUUCGCUGCAGAAGAGGAGGAGUGGACGGGAGGAAGAGGAGGCAGUGAACCAUACGCGGCCUUGAAGGAGGGCAGCGUGGCUCGGCCGUGAGUUCGAUCCCUGCACGCAGCAGUUACUUCGGCCGGAGGGGUGGCGCCCUUUUAAUCCCUCCCCAUCACCUUUAGUGGCCAACUUGCUUUACCAUAACGCUAUAUGACCUUAGCGCAUAAAAAUUUUCCCCACUCUCUUAAAAAAUUAUAAAUAAAAAGUAUUUUUUUAUUUUAUGUCAAUAACCUAAGUAACUACAUGUGUGUGUGUAUGUGUGUGUGUGUGUGUGUGUGUGUGUGUGUGUGUGUGUGUGUGUGUGUGUGUGUGUGUGUGUGUGUGUGUGUGUGUCACCAAUGAUAAACACAUCGUGUCGUAUGUUGAGCCACUGGCUGUCAAGCCCUGGAUCAACCAGUGAUGGUGCUGGGGAGGCGGAGGCACUCAUCGUCUCCACAAGACAGGAAUCGACCAUUGCAGAAGACGUGUGCUAUGAAACAGGAGUCAGUCAUUUAUAAUACCAGACUCAGACGAGGACAACAAACUCACCACGACGCCUUGCUGGAUGAACAAAUGGCCUGCAGUGAUACCGUUGUCAUCGUAAAUGAAAUGUUAAAGAAGACAGAAUAUGCUCACAGCAACGUUAACCAUAAAACGUGUGUGUAGCAUCUCUGCACAAGAUCUGAGUGUGACCUUGAGCGAUUUUUGGAUAACCUGCAGAUACAAGACCACCACCUGCGCGAGCGGCAUUUGUAUGUGUGCUGAUGUACAGCGAGGAGCACUUUUUGAACACAUGGAGGUGCUUGGUCUGGCGGUGUGACGCGCCCUGUGCUGUCUCACAAAGGUGUCUCACUGCCGUGUCUUCAUCGUUGGGUCAAGGCCAAGAGAAGUAGGGUAUCCGAGCCACCGACGUUUAAGAAGGCGCCCAACCUUUUCAUAGCGAUGCAGAAGAAUAUACAAAAAUGUCCAAGAAAAUAAUUUUAUUGAAGUGGGAAUCACACGGUCUGGAAAGAGGAACGAAUAUGAAAAGACUGCAAGGAGACUCUUCUUCUCUUAUGUUAUUAGUAAAAUGGAUACGAGCGUGCACUGCAACAGUGUAUGAAAAUGGAGGACGUAUUGCUGAAUAUGUCCUGAUUUGUACCAAAUGAAAAUAAAUUAGUAAAUGGCAGUUCUUAAGAAAAUUGU